GACGAACGCUGGCGGCGUGCUUAACACAUGCAAGUCGAACGGAAAGGCCCUGCUUUUGUGGGGUGCUCGAGUGGCGAACGGGUGAGUAACACGUGAGUAACCUGCCCUUGACUUUGGGAUAACUUCAGGAAACUGGGGCUAAUACCGGAUAGGAGCUCCUGCUGCAUGGUGGGGGUUGGAAAGUUUCGGCGGUUGGGGAUGGACUCGCGGCUUAUCAGCUUGUUGGUGGGGUAGUGGCUUACCAAGGCUUUGACGGGUAGCCGGCCUGAGAGGGUGACCGGCCACAUUGGGACUGAGAUACGGCCCAGACUCCUACGGGAGGCAGCAGUGGGGAAUAUUGCACAAUGGGCGGAAGCCUGAUGCAGCAACGCCGCGUGCGGGAUAACGGCCUUCGGGUUGUAAACCGCUUUCGCCUGUGACGAAGCGUGAGUGACGGUAAUGGGUAAAGAAGCACCGGCGAACUACG
RNAcentral lists this ribosomal RNA (466 nucleotides) under uncultured bacterium. RNAcentral's name for it is "partial 16S ribosomal RNA". It matches the Rfam family "Bacterial small subunit ribosomal RNA", at positions 28 to 505 of the family's 1533-position model. The record is from RNAcentral.